GCUGGCUAAACUGAAUCUUAAUUUCCCUUUAAGUAUCAUACAGUCUCUAAGCAUCUCUCCCAGCCCCAAGUCUCUCACUGGAAGGGCUGGUAUAAGAUCAGACAGGGGCAGAGGGCACUGCUGUCCUGUCUGUGGCUCUCAGAGGCUCAGAUAUGUGCCCUGGUGUCCAGUUCUAGGUCCAGGGCUAGGCAGGAGAACAGGCUGGGUGGCUGCACCUUCAGGACUCAUAGGUAAAAGGUCACCUGAGGAAGAACUUUUCCAGUUGGUUAAACAUUAACAGGUCUAGAGCCGGCGACUCAGGCUUCCCCUGCUCCCAAGUCCAGUCUUGCAUGCAAAGUGUGCUUACUAAAUGCUGGUGAGGGUAGAGGGUCCGGCAGAGGCAGUGAGGGGCUUUGGACACGGUGGCGGGUGGGCGGCUCCAGGGUUCCUGGAGGAGAUCUUGUAGUCUCCAGCCGGUCUCCAGGCCAACCCCUUUCUGCAAAGCACAGAGGGAAAGAAAUGAAGGGGACAGGGACAGGCCCUGGCAGGGGUGAUUGGUAUUCCUGUGGUCUCCAGCCCGGUGGAGGGCUGGUGGAGGGCCGGUGGAUGGUCGCAGAGUGCCCUGCCCCCAGAGGCCUGAAAUUCUGUAGAAGGGACCCCCUGACUUCGCUACUCCUUACCCGUCCAGCCAGACUCAGACCACACCACCCCUUCUCCCUGGAGGCUCUGGGCACCAGGUGUUCGCCCAAGCAGAGAAAGGGUGGAGUGGGGGUCGGACGGACGCGGCGACUUUCUGGAAGAGGAAGCAAACACAAUCCAUCCUGCAACUGUGCGAAGAAAUGCCCCAGGGUGUGUGUGUGUGUGUGUGUGUGUGUUGGCAGGGGCGUGCCCCCGGGUGCAAAAGUCCCCCGAUUAUUGCUUCUGCUGGGAAUGCGUGGGGCUGGGGGCUUCCGAGGGGCGCCUUGAGGGUGUUUGAAAGACGUAACGUCCAAGGCCGGAGGUGGAGGGAAGGGCCACGGAGAGACAUUCUGGCGACAUUAGAGGAAGGGCAGAGGGCAGUCGCCGCUCAGGCCCCCGAGGCGGCCCUGCAGGGGUUAAGGCUGGAGCGG
Molecule: long non-coding RNA, 1088 nt
Filed under: Marmota monax (woodchuck)
Lineage: Eukaryota; Metazoa; Chordata; Mammalia; Rodentia; Sciuridae
Source: RNAcentral